UACGAAGGGGGCGAGCGUUGUUCGGAAUUACUGGGCGUAACGGGCGCGCAGGCGGCUCAGCCAGUCAGAUGUGAAAGCCCCGGGCUUAACCUGGGAACUGCAUUUGAUACUACUGAGCUUGAGUACGGGAGAGGAUAGUGGAAUUCCCAGUGUAGAGGUGAAAUUCGUAGAUAUUGGGAAGAACACCGGUGGCGAAGGCGGCUAUCUGGACCGUAACUGACGCUGAGGCGCGAAAGCGUGGGGAGCAAACAGG
RNAcentral lists this ribosomal RNA (253 nucleotides) under uncultured bacterium. RNAcentral's name for it is "partial 16S ribosomal RNA". It matches the Rfam family "Bacterial small subunit ribosomal RNA", at positions 524 to 776 of the family's 1533-position model. The record is from RNAcentral.